GAACGCUGGCGGCGUGCUUAACACAUGCAAGUCGAACGGAAAGGCCUCAGCUUGCUGGGGUACUCGAGUGGCGAACGGGUGAGUAACACGUGGGUGAUCUGCCCUGCACUUUGGGAUAAGCUUGGGAAACUGGGUCUAAUACCGAAUAUGACCACUUCUUGGAUGUUGUGGUGGAAAGCUUUUGCGGUGUGGGAUGAGCCUGCGGCCUAUCAGCUUGUUGGUGGGGUAAUGGCCUACCAAGGCGGCGACGGGUAUCCGGCCUGAGAGGGUGUACGGACACAUUGGGACUGAGAUACGGCCCAGACUCCUACGGGAGGCAGCAGUGGGGAAUAUUGCACAAUGGGCGCAAGCCUGAUGCAGCGACGCCGCGUGGGGGAUGAAGGCCUUCGGGUUGUAAACUCCUUUCGCUAUCGACGAAGCCUUCGGGUGACGGUAGGUAGAUAAGAAGCACCGGCUAACUACGUGCCAGCAGCCGCGGUAAUACGUAGGGUGCAAGCGUUGUCCGGAAUUACUGGGCGUAAAGAGCUCGUAGGUGGUUUGUCGCGUCGUCUGUGAAAUCCCGGGGCUUAACUUCGGGCGUGCAGGCGAUACGGGCAUAACUUGAGUGCUGUAGGGGAGACUGGAAUUCCUGGUGUAGCGGUGAAAUGCGCAGAUAUCAGGAGGAACACCGAUGGCGAAGGCAGGUCUCUGGGCAGUAACUGACGCUGAGGAGCGAAAGCAUGGGUAGCGAACAGGAUUAGAUACCCUGGUAGUCCAUGCCGUAAACGGUGGGCGCUAGGUGUAGGGGGCUUCCACGUCUUCUGUGCCGUAGCUAACGCAUUAAGCGCCCCGCCUGGGGAGUACGGCCGCAAGGCUAAAACUCAAAGGAAUUGACGGGGGCCCGCACAAGCGGCGGAGCAUGUGGAUUAAUU
This 911-nucleotide ribosomal RNA is filed under the name Corynebacterium casei. RNAcentral describes it as "bacterial SSU rRNA". It matches the Rfam family "Bacterial small subunit ribosomal RNA", at positions 31 to 951 of the family's 1533-position model. Lineage: Bacteria; Bacillati; Actinomycetota; Actinomycetes; Mycobacteriales; Corynebacteriaceae. The record is from RNAcentral.